AGAGUUUGAUCCUGGCUCAGGACGAACGCUGGCGGCGUGCUUAACACAUGCAAGUCGAACGGAAAGGCCCUGCUUGCAGGGUACUCGAGUGGCGAACGGGUGAGUAACACGUGGGUGAUCUGCCCUGCACUUCGGGAUAAGCCUGGGAAACUGGGUCUAAUACCGGAUAGGAGCCAUUUUUAGUGUGAUGGUUGGAAAGUUUUUUCGGUGUAGGAUGAGCUCGCGGCCUAUCAGCUUGUUGGUGGGGUAAUGGCCUACCAAGGCGGCGACGGGUAGCCGGCCUGAGAGGGUGGACGGCCACAUUGGGACUGAGAUACGGCCCAGACUCCUACGGGAGGCAGCAGUGGGGAAUAUUGCACAAUGGGCGCAAGCCUGAUGCAGCGACGCCGCGUGGGGGAUGACGGCCUUCGGGUUGUAAACUCUUUUUUCUAGGGACGAAGCUUUUGUGACGGUACCUAGAUAAGAGGGGGGGGGCUAACUACGUGCCAGCAGCCGCGGUAAUACGUAGGGUGCGAGCGUUGUCCGGAAUUACUGGGCGUAAAGGGCUCGUAGGUGGUUUGUCGCGUCGUCUGUGAAAUUCCGGGGCUUAACUCCGGGCGUGCAGGCGAUACGGGCAUAACUUGAGUACUGUAGGGGUAACUGGAAUUCCUGGUGUAGCGGUGAAAUGCGCAGAUAUCAGGAGGAACACCGAUGGCGAAGGCAGGUUACUGGGCAGUUACUGACGCUGAGGAGCGAAAGCAUGGGUAGCGAACAGGAUUAGAUACCCUGGUAGUCCAUGCCGUAAACGGUGGGCGCUAGGUGUGAGGUCUUUUUCACGACUUUCGUGCCGUAGCUAACGCAUUAAGCGCCCCGCCUGGGGAGUACGGCCGCAAGGCUAAAACUCAAAGGAAUUGACGG
RNAcentral lists this ribosomal RNA (897 nucleotides) under uncultured bacterium. Its description in RNAcentral is "bacterial SSU rRNA". It matches the Rfam family "Bacterial small subunit ribosomal RNA", at positions 8 to 916 of the family's 1533-position model. The record is from RNAcentral.